Cavia porcellus (domestic guinea pig) is the source of this 716-nucleotide long non-coding RNA. RefSeq lists it as uncharacterized. The record is from RefSeq and is a predicted model, not a curated record. The transcript is spliced from 3 exons. NCBI's taxonomy places the organism in Eukaryota, Metazoa, Chordata, Mammalia, Rodentia, Caviidae.
GAGACCACUUUUUUGAAGUGACAUGUACCACACAAUUCACCCAUUUAAUUCUAUAUGUUAAUGAAAAAUCAAUUUGAGAAAUUUGGAGAGAUUAUUUUGCAGUCAUUAUUCUCCUUUGGGAAAAGCCAUCAUCUCUGUGGUGAAGCCUGAAGAUGGUCUUUGGGACCUGUGACCACCAUGACAGGUUAUGUGCUCAGGCAUUGGUGAUUUUAAGAUUGAUAAAAUAUAAAACUUUUGAGACAGUUUAACUUAUGAUAUCCUUAAAUUUUCUGUACCCCAUCUUUUCUCUUUUACAGAAAUCGUGACUCCACUCAACUACAGACAAACACAUUCCAAGGACUUAUAGAAAAAACAGGGAAAAUAAACAUGACAGAUUUCUCAUUACCUCACCUGUGGACUGGAAAGGAGCAAAUUCUUCAGUUCUCUUGAGAUCCUGACCUGAUGCACUGAUGACCCAUCUUGUGACCAGUGUUUGUCUCAUUAUCUUGGACCUUCUAUACAUGCUCCCUUUAUCCUGUGGAAGCUCUUGGCUUUGUCAUGACAGUGGCAGAGAAGAGUCAGAUGGAGGAAAUUAGGCAGGUAGCAACACCAAGAAGAUAAAAAGCGAGAAUCUAAGAAAGAGAGAAAUGCACCCCCGACAAUGAGGCUGUGGAGUCAUUCAUCAUUUUUAAAUUGUGAAAUUCGUCGGGAUCCAGCUGAGUGUCAAAGUAACUACU